RNAcentral lists this non-coding RNA (45 nucleotides) under Schistosoma margrebowiei. Lineage: Eukaryota; Metazoa; Platyhelminthes; Trematoda; Strigeidida; Schistosomatidae. The record is from RNAcentral.
AUCCAGAUGACAAGUCCUGAAUAGAACGAAACGCACAUCCUGGAU